CCUACGGGAGGCAGCAGUGGGGAAUAUUGGGCAAUGGAGGAAACUCUGACCCAGCGACGCCGCGUGCGGGAUGAAGGCCUUCGGGUUGUAAACCGCUUUCAGUAGGGAAGAAGCGAAAGUGACGGUACCUACAGAAGAAGCACCGGCUAACUAUGUGCCAGCAGCCGCGGUAAUACAUAGGGUGCAAGCGUUGUCCGGAAUUAUUGGGCGUAAAGAGCUCGUAGGUGGUUCGUCACGUCGGAUGUGAAAAUCUGGGGCUCAACCCCAGACCUGCAUUCGAUACGGGCGAUCUAGAGUGUGGUAGGGGAGACUGGAAUUCCUGGUGUAGCGGUGGAAUGCGCAGAUAUCAGGAGGAACACCAAUGGCGAAGGCAGGUCUCUGGGCCAUUACUGACACUGAGGAGCGAAAGCGUGGGGAGCGAACAGGAUUAGAUACCCUGGUAGUCCACGCCGUAAACGGUGGGCACUAGUUGUGGGAACCUUCCACGGUUUCUGCGACGCNGCUACGCAUAAGUAGCCCGCCGUCGGGAGGUACGAGUCGCGAAGAAGUUAAACGUAACUAAAGUAGUAAGUUAGUUACGGUCGUUGAGACGUUGCCGACGGCGACGACGAGGGAGGAGG
This 620-nucleotide ribosomal RNA is filed under the name uncultured bacterium. RNAcentral's name for it is "bacterial SSU rRNA". The stretch from base 1 to 522 matches the Rfam family "Bacterial small subunit ribosomal RNA", at positions 338 to 873 of the family's 1533-position model. The record is from RNAcentral.